UGCCAGCAGCCGCGGUAAUACGAAGGGGGCUAGCGUUGUUCGGAAUUACUGGGCGUAAAGCGCGUGUAGGCGGUGGCACAAGUCGGGUGUGAAAUCCCUGGGCUCAACCCAGGAAGUGCAUUGGAAACUGGCGAACUUGAGUACGGGAGAGGAAAGUGGAAUUCCGAGUGUAGGGGUGAAAUCCGUAGAUAUUCGGAGGAACACCAGUGGCGAAGGCGGCUUUCUGGACCGAUACUGACGCUGAGACGCGAAAGCGUGGGGAGCAAACAGGAUUAGAUA
Molecule: ribosomal RNA, 279 nt
Filed under: uncultured bacterium
Lineage: Bacteria
Description: partial 16S ribosomal RNA
Rfam family: Bacterial small subunit ribosomal RNA
Source: RNAcentral